Molecule: long non-coding RNA, 290 nt
Filed under: Physcomitrium patens
Lineage: Eukaryota; Viridiplantae; Streptophyta; Bryopsida; Funariales; Funariaceae
Description: long non-coding RNA (PPAT_LNC009480)
Source: RNAcentral
GAUGUCAUUGAUGAAGAACCUCAACUUUUCUUAUUGCAUUUGUAAGAUUUUUGCUGGCUCCCAUAUACAUUUAUUAAUAUCAUAUCCACACUAAUGAAUAAAAUAUUUUAAUAUAUUUUGGCAUUACCUUGAAUCUAUGACUUCUUCCAUCUUGAACUCCUGAUUAUUAUUCAUUUCUAUAGAUAAAAGUCGCAUUUGUCUUCUUCUUUAGAUAUUCAUUAUUUAAUAUGACUCAAGAAAAGACACAUGGAAUAUAAGAUAGAUAUUUAUAGACUUUAAUAGAUUUAAUC